Molecule: ribosomal RNA, 490 nt
Filed under: uncultured bacterium
Lineage: Bacteria
Description: partial 16S ribosomal RNA
Rfam family: Bacterial small subunit ribosomal RNA
Source: RNAcentral
AUUGAACGCUGGCGGCAGGCCUAACACAUGCAAGUCGAACGGUAACAGGAAGAAGCUUGCUUCUUUGCUGACGAGUGGCAGACGGGUGAGUAAUGUCUGGGAAACUGCCUGAUGGAGGGGGAUAACUACUGGAAACGGUAGCUAAUACCGCAUAACGUCGCAAGACCAAAAAGGGGGACCUUCGGGCCUCUUGCCAUCGGAUGUGCCCAGAUGGGAUUAGCUAGUAGGUGGGGUAACGGCUCACCUAGGCGACGAUCCCUAGCUGGUCUGAGAGGAUGACCAGCCACACUGGAACUGAGACACGGUCCAGACUCCUACGGGAGGCAGCAGUGGGGAAUAUUGCACAAAGGGCGCAAGCCUGAUGCAGCCAUGCCGCGUGUAUGAAGAAGGCCUUCGGGUUGUAAAGUACUUUCAGCGGGGAGGAAGGGAGUAAAGUUAAUACCUUUGCUCAUUGACGUUACCCGCAGAAGAAGCACCGGCUAACUCCGUG